GACGAACGCUGGCGGCGUGCUUAACACAUGCAAGUCGAACGGAAAGGCCCUGCAUUUGUGGGGUGCUCGAGUGGCGAACGGGUGAGUAACACGUGAGUACCCUGCCCUUGACUAUGGGAUAACUUCAGGAAACUGGGGAUAAUACCGGAUAGGAGCUCCUGCUGCAUGGAGGGGGUUGGAAAGUUUGGGCGGUUGGGGAUGGACUCGCGGCUUAUCAGCUUGGUGGUGGGGUAGUGGCUGACCACGGCUUUGACGGGUAGCCGGCCUGAGAGGGUGACCGGCCACAUUGGGCCUGAGGUACGGCCCAGUCUCCUACGGGAGGCAGCAGUGGGGAGUAUUACACAGUGGGCGGACGCCUGAUACGGCGGCGCCGCGUGCGUGAUGUCGGCCUUCGGGUUGUGAACCGCUUUCGCCUGAGACGCAGCGUUAGUGACGGUAAUGGGUGAAGAAGCACCGGCUAACUACGUG
RNAcentral lists this ribosomal RNA (468 nucleotides) under uncultured bacterium. RNAcentral's name for it is "partial 16S ribosomal RNA". It matches the Rfam family "Bacterial small subunit ribosomal RNA", at positions 28 to 507 of the family's 1533-position model. The record is from RNAcentral.